This 274-nucleotide ribosomal RNA is filed under the name uncultured bacterium. RNAcentral's name for it is "partial 16S ribosomal RNA". It matches the Rfam family "Bacterial small subunit ribosomal RNA", at positions 523 to 796 of the family's 1533-position model. The record is from RNAcentral.
AUACGGAGGGUGCAAGCGUUGUUCGGAAUUACUGGGCGUAAAGCGCGCGUAGGCGGAUUGGUCAGUUAGGGGUGAAAUCCCAGGGCUUAACCCUGGAACUGCCUCUAAUACUGCCAGUCUUGAGUUCGGGAGAGGUGAGUGGAAUUCCUAGUGUAGAGGUGAAAUUCGUAGAUAUUAGGAAGAACACCAGUGGCGAAGGCGGCUCACUGGCCCAUUACUGACGCUGAGGUACGAAAGCGUGGGGAGCAAACAGGAUUAGAAACCCUUGUAGUCC